AGAAGAGACCCACGUCAAUACAAACACAUAAAAGCAGAACUAAAAAAACAUUUUAAUAUUUAAAUAUUUGGAGAUAAUACGAGUUAUUCAACAUCAUGGUAGUGAAAGUGUGCAGAAAAUAUCCUUCCUAAGUCCCGCCCCGUUUCCCUCUGUGCUCCAAUUACAGUUGAGCAGGCCCGGCAGAACCUCGGUCAACUUUCCUCUUAUAUUUAGAUAUGCUGCGUCUGUUCAAAAGGUAACAUUACUAUGUAAGUCACAUUACAACGGGGUCACUUCACGGACACAUUACGUUGUCUAGAGUUACAGUUUCUAUGAGGAACUUUCAUUCUGUGUUGGCUUUGGCGGUCUUUGCGGACUAAAGCGGUAGUGUUUCCCAGCACCAGGGUCCCUUCAGAAAACGUCUCAUUUUACUGCAGCAGGGUCUGACAGUCUGCCCCGCUCAGUCCUGGUUCUGGUUCUGGUUCUCCCGUGCCUCCCUUCCCUCCAGCGGGCCCAGCAAUACGUGACUCACUGUCUAUGAUCGGUUGGCUCCGGUCGUUGACCACACCGACCUUCUUUAGCUUGGCUCCUUUGUGGAUGUCCGUCAGCAGCGCUCCUCUGCCUUUAGUCUCGGAUGAGUUCAGUUUGGGAGUCUGCAGAGGAAGUUAACAGAUAUGUAAUCACACCUCCAGUUCCUCUGGUCCGAACCCGACUGGAACGGAUCCGGUCUGACCCACCUCUCGACCUUGGUAACGAAGCCGAGUCAGUCAACGUGGGUUAACCCUUUCAGACACACAAUCAACCCUGGUUCGACCCUGGUUGAGUCCUCGGUGUGAAAGGGUGCACCACUGAUCACGGCCUGAUUCAGUAAACUGUUCAUGUGAUAUGACUGGAUAGACGGUGACUUACAGACGUCUCAACACGUGUAAGAAUUUAACCGUCUGGAUAUAUAAUCUAUAUAAUCUAUAUAAUGUCCCAGUUCCUGUGGCUGACUGAUGCUGAACCUCUGCAGUGUGAUGUCACUAACCUGACUGAAG
This is a long non-coding RNA of Sebastes umbrosus (honeycomb rockfish), 1016 nucleotides long. RefSeq lists it as uncharacterized. The transcript is spliced from 3 exons. The record is from RefSeq and is a predicted model, not a curated record. Lineage: Eukaryota; Metazoa; Chordata; Actinopteri; Perciformes; Sebastidae.